GGAAGUGCGGGUGCUAUACAUGCAGUCGAGCGGAUUGAUGGGAGCUUGCUCCCUGAUAUCAGCGGCGGACGGGUGAGUAACACGUGGGUAACCUGCCUGUAAGACUGGGAUAACUCCGGGAAACCGGGGCUAAUACCGGAUAACUCAUUUCCUCGCAUGAGGAAAUGUUGAAAGGUGGCUUUUACCUACCACUUACAAAUGGACCCGCGGCGCAUUACCUAGUUGGUGAGGUAACGGCUCACCAAGGCAACAAUGCGUACCCAACCUGAAAGGGUGAUCGGCCACACUGGGACUGAAACACGGCCCAAACUCCUACGGGAGGCAGCAGUAGGGAAUCUUCCGCAAUGGACAAAAGUCUGACGGAGCAACGCCCCGUGAGUGAUGAAGGUUUUCGGAUCGUAAAGCUCUGUUGUUAGGGAAAAACAAGUGCCGUUCGAAUAGGGCGGCACCUUGACGGUACCUAACCAGAAAGCCACGGCUAACUACUUGCCAGCAGCCGCGGUAAUACGUAGGUGGCAAGCGUUGUCCGGAAUUAUUGGGCGUAAAGCGCGCGCAGGUGGUUCCUUAAGUCUGAUGUGAAAGCCCACGGCUCACCCGUGAAGGGUCAUUGGAAACUGGGGAACUUGAGUGCAAAAAAGGAAAGUGGAAUUCCAAGUGUACCGGUGAAAUGCGUAAAUAUUUGGAGGAACACCAGUGGCGAAGGCAACUUUCUGGUCUGUAACUGACACUGAGGCGCGAAACCGUGGGGAG
RNAcentral lists this ribosomal RNA (750 nucleotides) under bacterium. RNAcentral's name for it is "bacterial SSU rRNA". It matches the Rfam family "Bacterial small subunit ribosomal RNA", at positions 38 to 768 of the family's 1533-position model. The record is from RNAcentral.